GGGCCCGUGGCGCAGCCUGGAUAGCGCGGCAUCAACCGCCGAAGCUGACGGUCGGGGGUUCAAAUCCCCCCGGGCCCG
Molecule: transfer RNA, 78 nt
Filed under: Thermoprotei archaeon
Lineage: Archaea; Thermoproteati; Thermoproteota; Thermoprotei
Description: tRNA-Arg
Rfam family: tRNA
About the family: Transfer RNA (tRNA) molecules are approximately 80 nucleotides in length. Their secondary structure includes four short double-helical elements and three loops (D, anti-codon, and T loops).
Source: RNAcentral